Long non-coding RNA from Lolium perenne, 4676 nucleotides. RefSeq lists it as uncharacterized. The record is from RefSeq and is a predicted model, not a curated record. Lineage: Eukaryota; Viridiplantae; Streptophyta; Magnoliopsida; Poales; Poaceae.
GCCCGCUCGGCCCAGACUCUCCCGUCGCGCGUGCAGAGGCCGCUCGGUCCUCCCCGCACUCCCUACUCCCCGCCGCCUCCCCAUCCCUAAUCCCCGCACCCUCACCACUCCUCACCGCCUCUCCCUCCUCCUCCUCCGGUAAGGCUCGUGCAGAGGCGGGAGCGGCGCCGCCGGCGGAGGCGCGGCUGCAUGGGAACGGCGCCGUUGGGUGGAGGCGCUGCGGGAGCGGCGCCGCCGGUGGAGGCGCGAGCCCGUAGGAGUGGCGCAGACACGGUCAACGGCGUGGUGGCCGCGGCGGGUGCUGUUGCCGAUGAUAGCGAGGAUGAGCAUUGCCAUGCCACCAGCAGCAGGACGGACCCGCAUCGAUGGGUCCUAACCUCGGCAAGGUUCGUCUUCCUCGGCCGCUGCCGCUCUGCAGUUGCUGGCGCCAUACACCUCAGCGCUAAAGCAGAUGAGCGCGGACCGCUAGGACGUCCUCAACAAGUGGACGCGUCAUCAUGAGUAGCACGGACGCGCAGAGAUUGAUACGCAGCUGAGCCACCUCGCCGGCAUGUUCAUCCUCACUGACCCAGGCAAGAUUAGGUGCUCGUGGCUUCUCCUAUUCCUCUCCCACCUCCCACCUCUCACAUUUUAAUCUUUCCCCCAUCCAAUUUUAGUGCUUUAUAUGUGUGGCCAUUGCAAAGGGAUGUCUCCUUAGUCUAAUACGUGACGCUGAUUGAUCUGAUUUGCUUUGGAUAUAGUUUCUCUGGUUUCAUAAUAAUUAUGCUUGCGAGGUGUUUGACGAAUUGUCCACAUGAGCGCUAAUACGUUUUCUUUGCUUAUGGUGCAAGCUGCAAGUUCUAGCCGAGGCCAGUACGAGCUUGCUCUUACUCGAGAUGUCGGGUCUGCUAUGGCAUGAGUGAAGAUGGUUCCUAAUGGUGCACAUAAGUAUGAUAAGCCGGGGUGGAGCUCACUGACCUGAUUCAGAAAAAUGACAUCCUCUCUGUGCAUUUUUUUUUUUGUAGAUGUUUAUGCAGGGGUGGUCUGAUAGGGCUGAAGGAAGGCAUUAGCAGAAUGAAUGGACGGACGAAUGAGGCUGGCAGAGAUGGGAAACUCAUGCUUGACGGUGUCUAGCAGUUCAGGUUUAAUGUAGUGAUCAGUUGGAUACUGCAAUUGGGAUUUUGAUUUUGUUAUGAUAUGGUUAGCGCCUAGGGAGACAAGUUUAGACCGAUGUAAAAAUACAAGGGAAAAUUUAGCUCAAGGUGUUAGGCUGCUUAGUGAAAUAUCGUCUCCUCGCCCCUUCAUACACUCCAUCACCAAUGGAUUUCAACAAAUCUUGCAGGUUCUGGGGCAGGCCACACCACAGCAGAAACUAGAGCUCAGUUUUUUUCCGUAUUCAUGCUAUAUGCGGCUCUAUUGGUGAUUCUUUUUUUCCUUCCCUUUGUUGUACAAUACUUGCACCUGUUGUUUGGAAACUUGGUGAGUUGGGGAAAAUAGCUGGUUGACUGGUCCUGGAUGGCUGAUGCUUGGUUUUCAGUUGCUGUGGAAUAGACUUUGGCUAUUGAGUCCUCUCUUUUUUAUUGUUUAUAAGCAACUUCGAUGCCAUGUCUUUCUUCUGAAUUAUUUGAGAGUUGUAAAUGAGGUUUGUAUCUCACAAGGCUAUUGAAAUGGGUGUACAUGGUUUAAGAUACGAUGAUGUUGAAAGGUACUCAGGCUGGUGGAUUUGGUUUUGGCAAUGUUCUAGGUGAUUGUUGUUCAUUUCAAAUGGACCGGGAUAAGCUAAAAAAUCGUUCGGUUGUAUCACUAUCAUAGUUCAUUGCUUCGUCAGUUGGAUUGUCGGUAAGAAUCUGUCUGUAUUUAGAUCAUUUUGCUCACUGCAUUUUGUUAUAUGAUUUGUCAUUGAGUUUCACAGCUCAUUUGUGCCAUUGACUUCUACUUACCCAUUGGCUUUCACUUAGGAUGCAUCCACCUGCGUUGUUUAUGUCUAUAGCUGGUGACUCAUGAUUGCCUAGCGAAGAAAAUGGUUAUUUUGUCUGUUAGUUGUAACUCCCGCUCUGUCUCUUUGUAACAUGCUGUUUUAUAUGCUUAUGGAAUUUUCUUGAAGCUUGAACCAUUGUGCAGAUUUGAGUUUUCUCUAAUAUUGUGGCAGAUUUAGUAAGUAUCUGUCGGCCUCUUUCUAAAAUGUUGUUUUAUAUGCUUAUGGUUUUAUAUGCUUAUGAUAUUCCGUUGAAGCUUGGAUCACAGGGCAGAUUUGAGUUUUCUCUGAUCACGUGGCAAAUUGUGGCAAGGGUUUAGGGGCUGGACGUUUCAUGAUUGAAAUUAUAGAAUAAUAGCUCGAAAUGUAAAGCCAUUUAGUUUGAGCAAAUAAAUGGGUCCUUAUGUUAAAAAAUUGCUUUGCCAUACUAAAACUAGAUUUAUUCAAGAUGUUCUUGAGCUGCAAUUUUAGAAAAUAGUUAAGUUUCCUGUGUUUUUGUUCAUUGGGUAGCUCUGAAAAAUUCUCCAACAAAGAUGGUGCCCGAGGAACACCUCUGCUUUGGUCAUACAUGUACUUCUUUAUACUGAACCAAUCAAUAUGUCACCAAAAUCACAAAGAUGGUGCACGAGGAGCAGACUGUUAUCACGUAUUCUCAUCUUGAGCUUCCUAUGUUCAAGGUGUAUGCCUUUUAUGAAACUCACUUCGAGUAGGUAAUGGUUCAACCUUUAGAAACUCACUUCUAGAAGCUCUUAAGACUAAUACUUAAUGCUAUUAAUUCCAAGUGGCUUUUCCUAAUGAUGCUCUUUUAUUGAUAUUUUAGGCCAUGGUCAUCUUUUUAGUAUGGCCAGGUUGUCACUUAAAAUUUCUCUAUAAGGAAUUCUCUCAAUCUCAUUACAUGGAUAUUUGAUAUGUUGUCCAUGAUAAGAAUAUAUCACAACCCUAUAGCGAAUAUGUGCUUCUUUUCUCCUAUUUAUAUGCAUAUAUUACCGCAAGUAGUACAAGGUUCCUCUGGAAUUCAAUUUGGUAGCUAAGCUUAUUGAUCUUUCACUGGCCAUGGGUCAGAUCAUUUUGUUUCUAGCUUCACCUUAAAAUUAUAAUUAUAUAUAUACAAUUUUGAAUUAUAAGUCAUUUUUAUUUGGCACUCCAAUUUUAUUUAUAACAAUUUCUAGAUCUAUGGGCACUCACAAAGAUGGUGUACAUGCAGUGAACUUGUAUGCCAAGUUCAGUUAUAUGCCUUGUCCUGAAGUAGCAUAGGAAGAUCUGGGAUUCAAGCAUUCUGCAUGAUCUCAUAUGCAAUGGUUACUUGUAUGUAUUACCAGACAGUAGUUUAGGUCAGAUUAGCGGAUUGAUGUUGUUGUUUGUUCAGAGAUAACUCACGCCAGAGUAGACCCCAUUUUUCUCUUUGUUGUUAAACUAUAGGCCUCUAGCUUCCUAUUCUGUUUCUAACAAUCAUCUAACUCAUAGUUUGUUAUGUUAUAAUAGCAGCAGUUUGCUGGAGAUGGUUGAACAUCUGCAAGGCUGCAGCCUUCUUCAUAUCCUCAGCUGCUUAUACUGGGCACCAUUUGUGACUGCCAAGUGGCAGAUGGUACCAAAAGAAAAUUAAUGCUUUUCCUCUAAAAGGCUGUGUUUCUUUCUUUUCUGUGUUCUUGCAGUUACCAGCUUGUUCAGUUUUGUUUGUAUUUUAAUUUCAUGGCAGAGUGACAUCAUCUCCAGUUAUGUUUUUAACCAUCAUUAAUUAUCUUCCUUUCAUAAGGCCCCAUUACUUCUCCUUUUUGGAUGUCUCCAUUCAUGUCCACUUAUGCUUCAAUUCUUUUCAUGUCAUACCUGAAUGUCUUGAUGAUUUUCUAUGUGCAUUUCUGUAUUAUCGAUCAUAUUCUUUCUUGCCUAACUUCUCCAUGCUUCUGUCUAUCUGAUGCUUAAUUAUGGAUCGUUGUUUCUUGCGUAACUUCUUCACGCUUUUUUCCUGUCUAAUGCUUAAUUAUGAACCUUCAUUUCUUGCAUAACUUGUUCAUGUUUUAUCUAUCUAAUACGCAGAUCAUUGCUACUUACAUAGCUUAGCUCCUCCUACUCUGGCAAUACCUACCUCUGCAGGAUACAAUUUUGUCCUGCUUCCUGACGGUAGCAGGGGCAUCGAGCAAGAGAUGGCCUAUAACCUUGCUGGCCUGUUCUCUGUCAACUACGAAGAAGAUACCCGAUAUACAAUGAUCUGGAUGCGGCUGCAAGUCCUCUGUUCCGCACAAAUUCUGCCAACAUCUUAACUCGUGCCGUGGACCUGCAGAUUCUGAUGGCCUUUACAUGUACCCUUUUGUUGGAGGAAGAAGGUUUGGCUGGAGCACCUGUUGAGUUGUGGCAGCCAGGAAGGAGCUGGUGAUGCACGGAGGCGGAGCUGGUGAAUGCAGAGACUGGAAACGGAGCCAUAGCCUGCUCAAAGACAUGAAACUAGAGUGUCAAUGAUGAUAUUUAGGAGCAUGCAAUGUCGGUGGAUAAAACAUGUUUCAAAUGUAAAAACAAAGCCGAGAUUGCUUGCACGUUUACAUGGUGGUGUCAUGUAUGUACGUGAGAGUUCUCUCGUGGGAAGAAUGUAAGCCUUGCGCCUUAUUUUCAAGUUCAAUGUUUUAAUAGUUACUCUUCCCGAGGACUGCGUUUUGGUUUCUUUCCAGUUUUCCGUUUUGGUUUCUUUCCAGUUUUCCCGUUUCAAAAUCGAGGAAGUUUUUGUUUCUUU